CCAGACUCCUACGGGAGGCAGCAGUGGGGGAUAUUGCACAAUGGGGGGAACCCUGAUGCAGCGACGCCGCGUGGGUGAGGAAGUACCCCGGUAUGUAAAGCCCUUUCGGCAGGGAAGAAAAUGACGGUACCUGACUAAGAAGCCCCGGCUAACUACGUGCCAGCAGCCGCGGUAAUACGUAGGGGGCAAGCGUUAUCCGGAUUUACUGGGUGUAAAGGGAGCGUAGACGGUAGAGCAAGUCUGAAGUGAAAGCCCGCGGCUCAACUGCGGGACUGCUUUGGAAACUGUUCAACUGGAGGGCUGGAGAGGUAAGCGGAAUUCCUAGUGUAGCGGUGAAAUGCGUAGAUAUUAGGAGGAACACCAGUGGCGAAGGCGGCUUACUGGACAGUAACUGACGUUGAGGCUCGAAAGCGUGGGGAGCAAACAGGAUUAGAUACCCCCGUAGCA
This 447-nucleotide ribosomal RNA is filed under the name uncultured bacterium. Its description in RNAcentral is "bacterial SSU rRNA". It matches the Rfam family "Bacterial small subunit ribosomal RNA", at positions 331 to 795 of the family's 1533-position model. The record is from RNAcentral.